Molecule: long non-coding RNA, 533 nt
Filed under: Pan troglodytes (chimpanzee)
Lineage: Eukaryota; Metazoa; Chordata; Mammalia; Primates; Hominidae
Description: long non-coding RNA NONPTRT011163
Source: RNAcentral
GAAGAGUGACAGCUAUUGUUUGGAAAGGUUUAUGAGCAGGAUCAGCCAGACCCACUGAGUAGAUUGUGUUUUGGGCUCAUGAGGAAAAGUCCACCUGACUCUCCCAAAGAAGCCAACUAGAGCGACAUGAGAAGAGACAAUGGAAGCUGAUAUCCAGCUCAUGAGACUUAUCCAGGAAAUGCGGGCAGAGAUCCACAAACUGGAGAAAGAGAAUCAAGCCCUCCGGAUGAAACUCACUGCAAGUAGUCAGAGAGCCUCAGGCUCAGGGAGAGAAUCAGGAGACAAAAGGGAGGAGGAAGCGCCAGGACAAUCUCCAGCAACCCUUCAGGGUGCCGUUUCCACUGAUGCAGCACCAGCAGCGCAGGAACACCAAGGCAAUGUCAUGAUUGUUAGAUGCUAUUCCAUUUCAUCAUCAGUUUGCUCAUCUGCUGUAAAUGAUCCCUGGAAAUCUGGGAAAAGUCACCCAAAGAGCGGAAUUCUAGAAGCUCAGAGAACACUGAAGUCACUGGCAUGUUCUCCAAUUAAGAAGCAAG